GAUGAAGAACGUAGCGAAAUGCGAUAAGUAAUGUGAAUUGCAGAAUUCAGUGAAUCAUCGAAUCUUUGAACGCACCUUGCACCCUUUGGACUGCUCCAAAGGGUAUGCUCGUUUGAGUGUCAUUGUACUCUCACACUCUCUGAUCCUUUGGAUUUGGGGAGCAGUGGACUUGGGUGCUUGCUGCUUCCUUGUGGCUCACCUGAAAUGCAUCAGUGCAUCUCUCGAUUGGACAUAGUACGGCGUGAUAAGUGUCUUCGCCGGCACCUCAUAUGAGGGUGGCCGAUCGGGAGCUCUGUGCUUUCAAACCGUCUUCGGACAACGCUGACAACUUGACCUCAAAUCGAGUAGGACUACCCGCUGAACUUAAGCAUAUCAAUAGGGAGGA
Molecule: unclassified non-coding RNA, 385 nt
Filed under: soil metagenome
Description: partial contains 5.8S ribosomal RNA, internal transcribed spacer 2, and large subunit ribosomal RNA
Rfam family: 5.8S ribosomal RNA (bases 1-122)
Source: RNAcentral